CAACUGAUAGUAUUACAAUAUGGUGGAAUAUCAAUGAAGAUACUACAUCACAUUAUCCUCCAGUACAUUACAUUGUUAGUGUACACAAUAUUACUAUUAAUACAACUGAUACUAAUGUAACUAUUAAUGGACUAUAUCCCAAUAAUGAAUAUACUGUAUACAUAAAACCAGCUAAUGCUAUUGGAGAGGGACCACUGAUUAACAUUACAGUCAACAUAACUGAUCAACAGUCGAUUUCAACAACAACCAC
Molecule: long non-coding RNA, 250 nt
Organism: Amphimedon queenslandica
Lineage: Eukaryota; Metazoa; Porifera; Demospongiae; Haplosclerida; Niphatidae
Exons: 3
Source: RefSeq, a predicted model, not a curated record